CGGCACCGGGCAGGCGUCACACCCUAUACGUCCACUUUCGUGUUUGCAGAGUGCUGUGUUUUUAUUAAACAGUCGCAGCCACCAGUUUAUUGCAACCCCUUCACCCUUCCGGCGCAGGCCGGUCAAGCUACCAGGGCGUACCUUAUCCCGAAGUUACGGUACCAGUUUGCCGAGUUCCUUCUCCCGAGUUCUCUCAAGCGCCUUAGAAUACUCAUCUCGCCCACCUGUGUCGGUUUGCGGUACGGUCAACGUGAAACUGAAGCUUAGAGGCUUUUCCUGGAACCCCUUCCAGUUGCUUCGCAGCCGAGGCCGCUCGCGCCACACCCUUGAAUUGCGUGCCCGGAUUUGCCAGGGCACCUUCUCCAAUGCAGCGACCGGGACUUCCAACACCCGGACAACCUUCCGCGAUCCGUCCCCCCAUCGCAUUUCACGCCGGUGCAGGAAUCUUGACCUGCUUCCCAUCAGCUACGCAUUUCUGCCUCGCCUUAGGGGCCGACUCACU
Molecule: ribosomal RNA, 502 nt
Filed under: Anophryoides haemophila
Lineage: Eukaryota; Ciliophora; Oligohymenophorea; Philasterida; Glauconematidae
Description: partial Bacterial large subunit ribosomal RNA
Source: RNAcentral